RNAcentral lists this ribosomal RNA (427 nucleotides) under uncultured bacterium. Its description in RNAcentral is "bacterial SSU rRNA". It matches the Rfam family "Bacterial small subunit ribosomal RNA", at positions 355 to 774 of the family's 1533-position model. The record is from RNAcentral.
UGGGGAAUUUUGGACAAUGGGCGCAAGCCUGAUCCAGCAAUGCCGCGUGCAGGAUGAAGGCCUUCGGGUUGUAAACUGCUUUUGUACGGAGCGAAAAGGUCUGCCCUAAUACGGUGGGCUCAUGACGGUACCGUAAGAAUAAGCACCGGCUAACUACGUGCCAGCAGCCGCGGUAAUACGUAGGGUGCGAGCGCUAAUCGGAAUUACUGGGCGUAAAGCGUGCGCAGGCGGUUAUGCAAGACAGAGGUGAAAUCCCCGGGCUCAACCUGGGAACUGCCUUUGUGACUGCAUAGCUAGAGUACGGUAGAGAGGGAUGGAAUUCCGCGUGUAGCAGUGAGAUGCGUAGAUAUGCGGAGGAACACCGAUGGCGAAGGCGAUCCCCUGGACCUGUACUGACGCUCAUGCACGAAAGCGUGGGGAGCGGACA